RNAcentral lists this transfer RNA (75 nucleotides) under Candidatus Wolfebacteria bacterium CG03_land_8_20_14_0_80_40_12. Its description in RNAcentral is "tRNA-Ile". It matches the Rfam family "tRNA". Rfam says of the family: Transfer RNA (tRNA) molecules are approximately 80 nucleotides in length. Their secondary structure includes four short double-helical elements and three loops (D, anti-codon, and T loops). The record is from RNAcentral. Lineage: Bacteria; Candidatus Wolfeibacteriota.
GGGCGAGUAGUUCAGUGGUAGAACGCUGACCUUAUAAGUCAGAAGUCGGAGGUUCGAUCCCUCCCUCGCCCACCA